RNAcentral lists this transfer RNA (78 nucleotides) under Lupinus albus (white lupine). Its description in RNAcentral is "tRNA-Asp". It matches the Rfam family "tRNA". From Rfam's summary of the family: Transfer RNA (tRNA) molecules are approximately 80 nucleotides in length. Their secondary structure includes four short double-helical elements and three loops (D, anti-codon, and T loops). The record is from RNAcentral. Lineage: Eukaryota; Viridiplantae; Streptophyta; Magnoliopsida; Fabales; Fabaceae.
GGCGCCAAAUUAGUAUAGUGGUAAGUAUUCCCGCCUGUCACACGGGUGACCCGGGUUCGAUCCUCGGCAGCGGCGCCA